Long non-coding RNA from Ailuropoda melanoleuca (giant panda), 390 nucleotides. RefSeq lists it as uncharacterized. The transcript has 3 exons. The record is from RefSeq and is a predicted model, not a curated record. Lineage: Eukaryota; Metazoa; Chordata; Mammalia; Carnivora; Ursidae.
AAACACCCUUCUCCCGACUGCACACGUCUGUGUUUCUUGUUACGUUUAGUCCUCCUGCUGUGGCUUUGCUCUGUUCGGAGAAUUUGUCAAGACAAUGAACUACUAGAGAUCAAGGACCUUGUCUCAUUGCCUUUCUGCCUCUGACAGAAACGAAGAUGAAUCAUCUGGAUGUUACAAAGAAAAUGGGACCAGUUCCGGGGAUGUCAGCAUUAACUAAGACCACCUCAUGAGCGUCAACUGUAGAGCCCUGCCCACAUGUUUGCAGUCAUUGCUGAGCACUGUCUGAGGAGUCCAACAGUGAUGAACAGCAGCUUCAAAAGGCCUCGACUCCACCACUGGUUUUUCUGUUUCAUGGCUCUCGCCAUAGUGAGCAGAUCAAGAGAGAACCAC